This 497-nucleotide ribosomal RNA is filed under the name uncultured bacterium. Its description in RNAcentral is "partial 16S ribosomal RNA". It matches the Rfam family "Bacterial small subunit ribosomal RNA", at positions 28 to 507 of the family's 1533-position model. The record is from RNAcentral.
GAUGAACGCUGGCGGCGUGCCUAAUACAUGCAAGUCGAGCGAACAGACGAGGAGCUUGCUCCUCUGACGUUAGCGGCGGACGGGUGAGUAACACGUGGAUAACCUACCUAUAAGACUGGGAUAACUUCGUGAAACCGGAGCUAAUACCGGAUAAUAUAUUGAACCGCAUGGUUCAAUAGUGAAAGACGGUUUUGCUGUCACUUAUAGAUGGAUCCGCGCCGCAUUAGCUAGUUGGUAAGGUAACGGCUUACCAAGGCAACGAUGCGUAGCCGACCUGAGAGGGUGAUCGGCCACACUGGAACUGAGACACGGUCCAGACUCCUACGGGAGGCAGCAGUAGGGAAUCUUCCGCAAUGGGCGAAAGCCUGACGGAGCAACGCCGCGUGAGUGAUGAAGGUCUUCGGAUCGUAAAACUCUGUUAUUAGAGAAGAACAAAUGUGUAAGUAACUAUGCACGUCUUGACGGUACCUAAUCAGAAAGCCACGGCUAACUACGUG